GUAGUCUCGCACAGAUGCAUAUCAAUAAGCGGAGGAAAAGGAACUAACAAGGAUUCCCCUAGUAACGGCGAGUGAAGCGGGAAGAGCUCAAAUUUGAAAUCUUAAAGGGUUUCCCUUUACGAAUUGUAGUUUAAAGAAGUGUUUUCUGUUGAGGUUUUGGUAAAAGUUCUUUGGAAUAGGACAUCAUAGAGGGUGAGAAUCCCGUAUUUGACCUUUACUUUCAACUUUGUGAUACACUUUCAAAGAGUCGGAUUGUUUGGGAAUGCAGUCCAAAAUGGGUGGUAAAUUUCAUCUAAAGCUAAAUAUUGGCGAGAGACCGAUAGCGAACAAGUACCGUGAGGGAAAGAUGAAAAGAACUUUGAAAAGAGAGUUAAACAGUACGUGAAAUUGUCAAAAGGGAAGCGUUUGACACCAGUGUUGUUUUUCUGAAAAUCAAUUAAAGAACUGUUUAUGCUAAGUUGUUUAGACUUUAUCAGCUAACUGUUUAGUUUUGAGCUUUUCUUUAAUGCACUUUUCAGUUAACAAGUCAACAUCAAUUUCUUUUGCUGUAAAAAAGCUUGAGGAAGGUGGCUUGAGAUUCGUCUUAAGUGUUUAUAGCCUCUUGCCUAUGCAGUCGGAGAGAUUGAGGUCUGCAGCGUAGAUCCUUCGGGGCUAAAUGCAUUUGUGCUAAGUUAUAGCAUUUUAUAGACAACUUGUUGACUAUGAUUUGUCUUGUAGCUUACUCGCUUAUGUUAUUUUACCUACGCUUAGGAUGUUGAUGAGACUGUCGAUCUCAUCUAUACAUGACUCUGUGCAUAUCAAUAAGCGGAGGAAAAGCUGUUACCUACGCUUAGGAUGUUGAUCUGUAGUGCGUGCGC
This 857-nucleotide ribosomal RNA is filed under the name uncultured Neocallimastigales. RNAcentral describes it as "partial large subunit ribosomal RNA". It matches the Rfam family "Eukaryotic large subunit ribosomal RNA", at positions 24 to 646 of the family's 3401-position model. Lineage: Eukaryota; Fungi; Neocallimastigomycota; Neocallimastigomycetes; Neocallimastigales. The record is from RNAcentral.